UACGUAUGGUGCAAGCGUUAUCCGGAUUUACUGGGUGUAAAGGGAGCGUAGGCGGCGCGUUAAGUCUGAUGUGAAAACCCGAGGCUCAACCACGGGAGUGCAUUGGAAACCGGCGGGCUGGAGUGCCGGAGAGGUAAGCGGAAUUCCUAGUGUAGCGGUGAAAUGCGUAGAUAUUAGGAGGAACACCAGUGGCGAAGGCGGCUUACUGGACGGCAACUGACGCUGAGGCUCGAAAGCGUGGGGAGCAAACAGG
This 253-nucleotide ribosomal RNA is filed under the name uncultured bacterium. RNAcentral describes it as "partial 16S ribosomal RNA". It matches the Rfam family "Bacterial small subunit ribosomal RNA", at positions 524 to 776 of the family's 1533-position model. The record is from RNAcentral.